RNAcentral lists this ribosomal RNA (449 nucleotides) under uncultured bacterium. RNAcentral describes it as "partial 16S ribosomal RNA". It matches the Rfam family "Bacterial small subunit ribosomal RNA", at positions 29 to 523 of the family's 1533-position model. The record is from RNAcentral.
AACGAACGCUGGCGGCAUGCCUAACACAUGCAAGUCGAACGAGAUCUUCGGGUCUAGUGGCGCACGGGUGCGUAACGCGUGGGAAUCUGCCCUUUGGUUCGGAAUAACAGUUGGAAACGACUGCUACUACCGGAUGAUGACGAAAGUCCAAAGAUUUAUCGCCAGAGGAUGAGCCCGCGUAGGAUUAGCUAGUUGGUGUGGUAAAGGCGCACCAAGGCGACGAUCCUUAGCUGGUCUGAGAGGAUGAUCAGCCACACUGGGACUGAGACACGGCCCAGACUCCUACGGGAGGCAGCAGUGGGGAAUAUUGGACGAUGGGCGAAAGCCCGAUCCAGCAAUGCCGCGUGAGUGAUGAAGGCCUUAGGGUUGUAAAGCUCUUUUACCCGGGAUGAUAAUGACAGUACCGGGAGAAUAAGCUCCGGCUAACUCCGUGCCAGCCGCCGCGGUAA